CUCUGCCUCCUUUUUUUUUUUUUUUUGGUUUAACCAAAACUUCAUACAUAUACACAUAAAUAACUGAUAUGUGAAUAUUUAUUCUGUGUAAUUCAGCCCUCUCAUGUCACGGCUGAGAUGAGAAAAUAUGAACAAGGAUACAAUUACUGGUCAAUUUUGGAAGAUGCAGAAGAGGAGGUCUUUGACAUCCGGCUCAUAGAACCAGUAUUAUUUGAAUCCAAUCUGAAGGGGAAUGCAAGUUCUAGUGGAUCAGGAAAAUCCAGGUUGUGCAAAACUUUAUACUUUGUUUGAUAAUGUUGAUUUGUUGUUUUUGAUUUAUAUAGAGAUGGAGAAGAGAAAGAGGAAGGGGAGAUAGCUAGGUGGGAGGAGAGAUAACAUUGUUGAUAAGGAGCGCGCGAUGAGAUAGAUUUUAAAAAAAUAAAAAUAAAAAAGAAGCAUUAUUUGUAAUCCCCCAAUGCUCCCGCGCUAGCGUGGGGCGUUAAUAGGGUUAUAUAUUACCUAAUUGUCAUUUGUACUCCCACUCAUGACACACACUUCACGUGCAAAUAGCUUCAUCUUUUAAAAGUAAAAGCUUAAAAGAAAUUUUGGAAUCCAUUUUUUGUCAUUUCAUAAUGUGCUCCUUCGUAAAUCACAUUUCUUAUAAUAUAAUUGAUUCUCACAAUAAUUGCAGAAUAUUGAUAAUCUUAGUAAUAAAAGUGAUUAAUGUUUUGCGCCAUUGGUAAUAAGUUUUGAAUUAAUCAUAUUUUUUCUUCUAUGAAAUUGUAGUGCUGCUGCCUCCAAGGCCAAAGAGAAGCAACCUUCAGAGAGUUAGCAAGAUAAAACUACAGAAGAUGAGGCUUGACCAUCCACAUGGAAAUGGUUGCACAUCAAGAAUGAAUUUUACUUUGUGAUCAAAUUUAGUUAAUUUGAGUUGAAAGAUCAUUAGACUUUAUGUAAACCUGUUUUCUGCGUAUCGUGCAUUUUGAGAUUAUCAGUUUUUUCAGUACUUCGUUUUUGCUUCCAGUUCCUCCAACAGCAGAAAUCAAAGACAAGAUAGGAGCGAUGGAUGCAUCUAGUGUUUUUUAAUAUUCUUGCAAAAGCUCAAGCUGGUAUUGAUGUCUUUUACUACUCCUAAAUUAUUCUUUCAUGGUUUACUAAUUUGAAUGUAGUAUCUUAAUAGAAGGAAGAUAAAUUUGUACAGGAAAACAGAUGCAUAAACACAAAUCAGCAGAAAAGUAACCACUCUUGUUUAAAAUGACGAAUGCGGAGCUGUUGCGGCGCUGUUACAUCUUUAGCAACGGUCGAAACCGCCGAGAGGCUAUACCGUUAUACUCGGUUUUUCCAAUUUUUUUUAAAAAGAAAUAGUAUAACCGCACGGCUAUACUCGGAUUUCACCAAUUUUUUUAAAGAAACUAAUUUUUUCCAAAUGGUAUAGCCGUACGGCUUUACUCGGUUCUUUUUUAAAUAGUAUCGCCGUGCGGCCAUACUCGGGUUUUAUUUUUUUUAAAAAGAUAUCGUAUAGCCGGGCGGCUAUACUCGGUUAUUUCUAAUUUUUUUUUAAUAAGAAAUAGUAUGGCUGCGCAGCGAUACUCGGUUUUCAGAUUUUUUUAAAAAAGAAAUAGUAUAGCCGCGCGGCUAUACUCGGUUAUCUCUAAAUUUUUUUAAAAAGAAAUAGUAUAGCCGUUCGGCUAUACUCGGUUAUCUCUAAUUUUUUUAAAAAAAGAAACAGUAUAGCCGUGCUCUAAUUUUUUUAACUUACUCGGUGAUCGCUAACUUUUUUUAAAAAGAAAUAGUAUAGCCGCGCGGCUAUACUCGGUUAUUUCUAAUUUUUUGCUGCAUAGCGAUACUUGGUUUUCAGAUUUUUUUUUAUAAAAGAAAUAGUAUAGCCGCGCGGCUAUACGCGGUUAUCUCUAAUUUUUUUAAAAAAAGAAAUAGUAUAGCUGCUCAGCUAUACUCGGUUUUCAUAUUUUUUUUAAUAAAAGAAAUCGUAUAGCCGCGCGGCUAUACUAGUUUUCACCUAAUUUCUGGAAAAGAAAUAGUAUAGCCGCGCGGCGAUACUCGUUUCCCCCCUAAAAAUAGUAUAGCCGCGCUGCUAUACCCUUUUUUCAAUUUUUUUAAAAGUGUAAAUGAAAUAGUAUAGCAGCACGGCCAUACUAUUUAUUAAAAAAUCACAAUCUUGCAUUUUUCUUCCGACAAGUAAGAAAUAAUCUUAGCCUCUCAAAUUCUUUCAUAGUUAGUAAAAUACGGAAUGGAAAAAAUACUAAUAAAAUACAUACGUGAUUUAUUCAGCAAAGUUUUUGCAAAUUUGCUCCAUCACAUAAACUUAAAAUUUGCUAAAAUGUCGUAAUAACAAGACAAAAGAUUUAAUCAAGGGAACAGUAAAUAUGGAAGAAAACCAAGAAUAAAGAAAUUGAUGAAAUGAUAGAACAAAAUUCGUGCAUUCUUUAAUCAACUAAUCAGCAUUUAUUCUAAAUAACAUAAAACUUGCUUAUUACUAUACCUACAGUUAUGCUCUAAACUAUCGUAUGUCACUUCAAUUUAUGCUCCCUUGUUGCUCACGUUAGCUACAAUCUUGCUUAGGAAUUAUUGGGAUUUCCAUAGAUGGCAAAAGGGUCUCCUUAUAAAUUGUGGCUUUAGCUUCCACUUCCACCACCAACAAACUUGGAGAAUCAAAGAGAGUUCAAGAAAAUAAUCAAAGAAAGUGAGGAGAAAUGGACGCUAGUGUGUUGAGGGCAGUGGUUUUGAUGAGCAUGCUUGUGCUUUCAAUAGCCCAAGCUGAUAUGAAUCCUUCCUAUACCAAUGCGGGUCCAAAUGACAAUCCUCUUGGUCAAGUUGAUGAUGUAUAUCCUCGCUCCAAUACAAAUCAAGUGGUUCCAAAUGGCCAUAUUAUUUCUUGUGGUUUAAAAUGUGCGACAAAGUGCCUGAUGAACCCAAUAUGUCUUGGCAUGUGCAUGAUCAGAUGCAAACAUAGGCCUUCAAAUGUUGUGUAUAAGUGUACACAUAAUUGUGCCAACUCCAUUGCCACCACAAGCACUUCCAAUUCUGGUAAUACGCAUAUUUAAUUACUCUUUUUCUAUAACUUUAUCAUGUUUGUUUGAAAUUAUAUUUUUAAUUAUUGAUAUUCUUUUUGCUUUUGUUUUAUUUGCUUGAUUGUAGAUAACCGCUAUGUGGAAGGUUUCGUGGAUUCAUGCUAUGAGAGUUGCUCCAAGAAUAACCAGAUAAAUUAAUUGAUCGGCUUGUUCCCUAGUUCAACGCAGAUGUCUUGCUGCAGAAAAUAAAUGACCAAUUAUGUCUUUCAUAUCAACUUCUUAUUAAAAACAAGAAUAAGAUUUACGAAAUUACUACUUAUAUUGCUUUAUGGGCCCUGUUUUUUGGGUUCAGCAUGCCGUACGUGUAGUUUCUUCGUUUAUUUCUCUUUUCAUUCAUUCUAGCCAUACGGCCAAGAAGCUCAAGCUUGAGCACCUUCAAACCAUACCCGUACGUUAUCAAUCAACUAAAGAUCCAGACAAACGACAUCUAUUCUAUAAUAUAAUCAAUUUAAUUAGCAUCGUUUGCUGUCAUCCCCACUGAGUUAUACAUUAAUAGAAAACCUCAAAAAAACCACACACAAGGAACUCAAAAUAUUGUUGCCAUUAUCAAAUCAAUAAUGUUAUUUGGAUCACAUUGUUGAUCACCUCUAUUAAAGAGGUGAGCCCCGUCAGUAUAUGUAGGACUCACCUGUAUUCGAGAGAUAAUCAGCAAUGCAGUCUAAAUAGCAACACCAACAACCUUAUCAAAUAGUAUAUCGUUGGAACAUGACGAUCAUAUAAAAAUAAAAUUAAUAUAUUAAAAAGGUGUAUAGACAAACUUGGGGAUGAACACAUAAAAGAAUUUGGAAAUCGGUUUUUGUGGAUUGAAUUUUCUAUAAGUAAGGACUGGAAAACAAAGAAACUAACAAUUUGUAAUUUUCUAUAUUACGCUGAGUUAAACUACAGAAUCGAGUAGCUGGACUUGUUGUUUUUAAAGAGGCCUGACAAAAUGUUAGAUUGUAAUGUUCAUAUAGAAUUAAUGAAACUUAGCUUUUAUUUAAAAAUAAAAAGAAAGAACAAGAUUUAUACAUAUAUACAUAUAUAUAUUGGAAAAGUUGUGAAUCUAUGAUGCUAUUUUUACAUAUAUGUUUUGCUUGUCUAGAGAAAUAACUACAAGGAGAGGUUUCACACACACACACACACAAUUAAAAAUGCCAUGGGGGCAAAAUAAAAGCAUAGCAAGCCAACUUCACUAGGCACAUAAUUGUGCCGACAAAAAGACUUAAUCAAAUGGACUCGAUGCAAAUGAUCGUCAAAGAAAAAGGCUCCAUUACAGUCAAGAUCAACUAAAUCAAUUAGUCACAGCUCGUUACUUUCCCAUCAAGUUUGAAUUCCCUUUCCGUAAAUUAGAUUAAUUUAAAAUAAUUUAAACUAUCUCUAGUAUGAUUUAUUUCAAGAAAAAUGAUAGUCCGUUCCGUCCUGUUUUUUAUUUGGCGUGACAAAGUUCAAAGUCACAACAAAUUAGUGACCAACCUAAUGUUGCCCUAAAUCUCUAGAAAUAGAAAAGGAAAAUCAUAGUUAUAUAUGAUUUUACUUGGAACGAGGGUCCAAGUGAUGCAACAGUCAAACCCUGGAACCUUUAAAAAACAGUUAGGAUCCGAAACCUCUCCACCGUUUUACACUCUCCUCUGACAGGAGUGGGUGAGCUCAAAUCAAGGUGGACCCACACAGUUAAACUCCCAGCAGACACAUCAACAGGUACAGUGACAUAGAUACACCCAAAGGGCUAAAAUUGGUCAUCCACAAUUUUGUUGAACAGUUAUAUUUUGGCCUUUGAUUUUGAAGUCUGUAAACUGCAGGUGCCAGCUUUCAAAUCUGAAGCAAUUGAGAGCAGAUAUCAAAUUAUGGGGAGGAUGGAGUAUUUGGCUCUGAAGAGUAGUGAUCCAGACACCAAUGAGUUGAUAAAUUCAGACAUCAAUGAUCUCAAGAUUGCAGCCAAGAAACUCAUCAAUGAUGCCACUAAGCUUGGUGGGUUGGGUUUUGGGACUUCUUUUCUCAAAUGGGUUGCCUCCUUUGCUGCCAUGUGAGUCAUCUUAUUUGUUUCCUUGAGGACCGAGUUGCUUUAAGCUUUGUUUUAUUGGCUGGAAUUGGGAAAGUGACACUGAUGUGCGCCCUUUUUGAUUUUCUAAUUGUUAAAAAGGGAAAAGUCAAGAAAGUGAUUUUUUAAAAAUCUUCCUCUCUUGAGUAUAAUAUUUCAUUCCCUUAAUCUGGGAAAAAGGAAAACAAUGUAUCACAGUUUCCUGCAUAUGUUUAUUUUAGUUAUUGUUUUCUUUAAGAUUUUGGCCUUCCUAUUUAUUGAAACAUCCAUUGUUAGUCUGUAACUUCUUGUUUUUGGUCCACCAAUAUGUCAGAACUUGACCUGUUAUGUUUCACACCUAAAUUUUUCUUCCCCUCCGAGAAACACUUAUGUGAAACGGGUAUAACACUAUUUUGCUAUGUGCGGUCAAUCAUGGCAUGCCAAGCCUGAUAACUUUUCCAAGUGGGAAUAUGUUUCAUACAAGUUUUUACGCUUCCUGAGGCCCAGUUCAUCCUGUCUUUAGCUGUGACCUAAAUCCCAUAUCAUCUAAAGUUUUUAUAUGGUCAAUAGUCUAGAAAGCCAUUGAUUGACAUGAAGUAAGCCACGAAUUGACUUACUUUUUGUUUUUGGGUAUGAAAUAAGUUCAAGUAGAUUAGCUUGUGGCCAAGUAGGGCUCAACAGAUCAAAAAUAUGUGCCCCAACCCCUACUAUUUUACUUGGAUGCACCAACACAUAAUUUUGUCCAUUCUGAUGUCUAUUUCCAUUGAUGUAACCCUAUAACUCAGACUUCUGCUUGGUUAUCCAUUCUGAUAUCAAUGAGUUUCUGGUUCCAUGGGCUACUUCACUGGAUAGGGUAUAAGCUUUACAUGAAAGUCCCUUCCAAGUUAAGCCCUUUAAUGGUGUUUUACUUCAUUUCCAGCAUGUGGUUGUUAUGGAUAUGAGCUAGUGUUGUACAAGAAAGCAAUGCUCAAGAUCUAGUCCUUGCUUGGAUACCAAAAGAAUGUGAAACAAUGAAGAAUGCUAACUGUUUUGGACCGUCGUGCAUUUUGGUGGUGUUAUUUUCACUCAGACAGAGUUUAAUUGUUGCUGUUUAGAAUUUAUUUGUUUUCUCCAAAUAAUUAGCCCUUGAUUCAAACCAUACGAUCAAGAGGCUUCAAUUGUUGACAACUAAUUACUGAACACUGUCUCUGAUGUCCUAUCACUCGCCUAAAUUGAUUCAAUCAUCAGUUAGCAAUUCCAUCUGUAUAAUAUAAUAUGCCCUGCAUAUUUGCCUCGAUUGCUUCUUCCCAUUGGCUGUUACCUGCUGCAAGAGCACAUAAACUUCCAGGUUAGAUUUUGUUCACUAGUACAAAAUUUGUCUGAGAAAGUAUUUUCAAUGCUGCAGAUAUCUGUUGAUAUUGGAUCGAACCAACUGGAGAACAAAUAUGCUGACUUCACUUUUAAUCCCUUACAUUUUCUUCAGUCUUCCUUCAGUGCUCUUCAACCCCCUAAGGUGAUAAUUUCUCUUAUUGGUGCACAUUUUCUUGUUUGCUUUUCACAUCCUUCUUUUGUUCUCAAUAAUCUCAACUCAUUGACAUUUCUUCAAUAUAAUGCAGAGGAGAGGUUGGAAAAUGGAUUGCUUUUAUUGCUGUUGUACUGAGGCUUUUCUUCCCAAGACAUUUCCCAGGUAUAGGCUCAAGUCACUGCACUGAUUUUUCUCUAUCCUUCUCAAUUCUACAGACUUAAGUUGCUUUGUCCCAAAUAUAUUAGUCUUCACAACCUCAACUUUAUCAAAAAAAAAUUAUAAGCAUUAUGGUUUUUGUAUUAGUCUUCAAAUCAUAGCCUUGUUCUAUGAUCCUAAUUUCAUUGCAGAUUGGCUACAGAUGCCCGGUUCGUUGAUCCUUCUUCUUGUUGUGGCUCCCAACUUUUUCGCGCACACAUUGAAGGACAGCUGGGUUGGUGUCUUGAUAUGUCUUCUCAUUGGUUGUUACCUGCUGCAAGAGCACAUCCGGGCUUCAGGUGGCUUCAGAAAUUCCUUCACACAGAGCCAUGGAAUAUCAAACACUCUAGGAAUUAUCCUUCUCUUAGUCUACCCUGUUUGGGCAUUGGUUCUCCAUUUCAUCUAAGCAUUGUAGUAAACAACAGUUUCUACCAAUUGUUCAUGUGCUGCAACUUGCAAACAGCAUAUCUCCAUCUUCUCUUUAUAAGAAUUGGAUUUCAGUUGCAAUUCUAUCUGUUGAUCAAAUUUUGGUUUCUGCUUCUACUCCAAUUAAUUUGAAUAUGCAACACUGAAAUAUAUGCAGUCCAGAAAAAAGGUCUGAAAUAUAGAAAGGAACAUUAUCUCUCUGUGGACUGUCACUGAGUCUUCAUUUAGUGAAUCAGGAACAUUCAAAGUAAAACAUUUUUGGAAUACCAAAAUCUCUCAAUUGUUAGCUGUUUCUGUCUUCUCCCAAUGAACACCCUUUUGGACAUUGCAUCAUGAAACAUAUUCCCUCCAAUUGAUUAAUGAAAUUGUCAUCGAUGGUUUUGUUAGUACCAUACCAUUGUUUUGGUCUCACGCUUAGCCCCCCUGCUCGUAUAAUGUAACACAAUUUAUAGGGAAUCCAAAUACAAACCCAUGGACAUAGUGAUUUUACAGUUUUACGAGCAUGUGGGCAUUGCAGUUUUAUCAUAAACCUGGUGUUCCUGUGUGAUUUUACAAUUUUAUUAUCGAUCAUUCAAUUUUUGUCAUCAACAAAUUUCAGUCUCAAUUGUAUAUAUACGAAUGCUAGGGGCAUUGCAUAUGUGAAUUAAGUCAGUUAGCUGAAUAUUGUGUAUGAUCUCAUACACUCGAGUUUAAAUCCCCCUCCAUUCAAUUUAGAAUUCCAUUUUGUCAAAAAAAUUGGCAGGCAGUUCAGGUUAAGAAUUUCUCAACAUUUUUUUUGGAUUCAACUUUUGUAUAACCGCAUUCAUAUAAAACCGCCUAAAAAUGUGAUUUUCUUUUUGUUGUUUAUGUAUUUGGGUUUAUAUAUUAUUUGCAGGCAGAGGAUUUACUUGAGGCGCCUAAAAGCGGCAAGGCCCAAAAUUUAUUAGCCCAUACGUACAAGUUUAAACUUCAAAUCUAGGGCCCAUGGUUGCGUUCUGUCAAUGAUGGCAUAUUGGUAAAUUCCAGCACCGCGAAAACCCAAAACCCUAACCCUAAACAGCCUCACUGAGGCCUAUAAAACCAACACACGAAUUGAGUAACGGAGACCAUCGCAAGUCGAAAUCAACCUUCUCCAAGUCGCUCUUCCGUUUUGCUCUGUCUUUUGCUCUGCGUCGUCGCAGUCAUAGGCUAAUCAUUCUGCUUUGAUUUUCCAUUAAUGUUUGCUUUGUUAUUCUCAAAAUAUCUUCCUUCCUUUGUUUUCUCUUUAUUUUGAUUCUGAAAUCUGGGUUUUUGAAGUGUGUGUUGGGGAUUCUCGGUGAUGAACAACAAUGAUGACGAGUCCGAUCCAUUCAUAUAUAAAAUCGUGACGACAAAACGAGGCAUUUGUCUGAGAGAAUAAUGCCCAAUUUACCAUUCUUUUCAAUCUUUCUUCCUUUUUUUUUUUAAAUAAAUAUUUUCUGGGUUUGUUUAGAUUAUUUUGUUUUGACGAUUUAAAGGCAGGCAUGGUGAUGAUGUGUAUCAUCUGAUAUUCAUUUUUGAUGAAUUUACUUACCUCCUACUCAUACUGAAUGCCUGCUCAUCAAAUUCUAAUUUCCCUUCUGAUUAAAGUUUUGAUCUUUUGUUUUCGUGUGAUUUUGAUAUAAAAAGCUUUCGAUUUUCUCUUUGAAAAUAACAAAUUUUUUGUUUUUUCUUUGUGGGAACUGGGUUUCUGGUGUUCCUCAAGUGUAGAGAGAGAAGGAUGAUGUAGCGAUGAUGAUAAACUCAGUAUCACUCUCAUGUGUACAUUGAGGAGCACCGAUGAUUUUGUUUCAAGCACUUUUGAGCUUCUCUCUCUCUCUCUCUCUGUGAUUUUGGUUUUUUGUUUUUCUGAAUCUGUGAUCUGUUAACAAUCAGUACCAAUGCAAUAUGGAUACAAGAAGUUCGGCUGAAUCUGUUUGCAAUUCUGAUCAUGAACUGUUUGCUACUAUAAAAUAAAGUAAAUUAAUUUCAGACCACUUAAGAAUUUAAGCUGAUGAAGCAGGAAUUUAUUGUUGGUCUGAGACUUAACAAAAUAAUUUCAAACAGAGGUUGAAUUUGGAUUCUAAUAUGGCCUGGAUGAAUGAAACUUUAAGAAAUUAAGCUGAAAGUGAAAGAUCCAUUCUUUUGGGAAUGUGAAAAACCCGAAACAAUUGCCAAUGAGGAUUUGUUGAGUUGGUAAGGAUCCCAAUGGGUACCCUCCCCUUCCCCUAAAUUUUUGUUCUUAAAAAUAAGAGACCCCAAACAAUUACUUGUACCAUGAGCUAGAAUGAAGAAGAAUGAAACUGUCUAGAGCAAACUCUGAACUCUAUACAGAAUACAAGUUUACUAUUUGUACGAGCGGAGGAAGAUUUUUGUUACUCAGAAGAGAUCUAUUAAUAGCUACAAUGAAAAGUAUUUGUCAUCAAGGCCUAUUAGCUCAGCUGGUUAGAGCGUCGUGCUAAUAACGCGAAGGUCGCAGGUUCGAGACCUGCAUGGGCCAACUUUUUAACAAUUUUUUGCUUCCUACAUGUGCGUUGCUUUUACUCUUAUAAAAACCUUUCUCGACUCUGAGUUGCGGGUUCGAAACCGGCUGCUUUCAUUUUUUAUCACUUUUCUUUUCUUUUUCUGGUUUUCUGAAUGAUUAAUGUCACAUUCCCCUUCAUUUGUACUAUACUUGCAAAAGUCUACAUUGUAGACAAAAUAAAACAUUGAUAAUAUGUGGAGUAGGAGGGAAAGGAUAUGACCGUGCUCAUCUGACCACCAGUAUCUUUAUCCCAAACAAGAAGUUUGCCACUUGGCAAACAACACAUCUAAACUCAUUACCUUCAUUCAACCAAUGAGAGAGCAAGCCUUAUCCUAUCCAUUAUCCAACUCACUCCAAAGCCCACCAAAUAACUCCCCAAUUGCCACACAAAAACUCUUCCAAAUACUCUGUUUCAAACACAGAGAUCACAUUGGAACUGCAAAACAACACCAACCAUGGCAGCCUCACUCCAAGCAGCUGCUACUCUUAUGCAGCCCACCAAGGUGGGCGCGCCGGCAAGGACCAGCCUUCAGCUCAGGCCCUCCCAGAAUGUCUCCAAGGCCUUUGGCUUGGAACCAUCUGCCUCUGCUAGGCUCACUUGCUCUCUGCAGUCUGAUCUCAAGGACUUUGCUCACAAGUGUGUUGAUGCCUCUAAGAUUGCUGGCUUUGCUCUUGCUACUUCUGCCCUCGUCGUCUCGGUAUGCUGCUUAAUUCCAUUUCACUGCUUGAUUAGUUUCUUACUUCAUGUGCUUACAACUGUAUAAAAGAAGAACAAUGAUGAAUUUUAUUAUCUUUAUUAUGUAUGUGUAUAGGGUAUGAACUUUCUAUGGUUUAGAGGGAUGUAGAUUAGUUUGUGGUACCUGUUGUAUAUACAAAGGUUUCAGAUGUUCUCUGUGGCAUGCUAGAUAUUUGACAAGUUAUGUUGCUAGAAUGACACUCUGAAUGGGACAUCAUUUGGGCAUAAGUCGAUCUGAUAUGAUGAGUUUAGAUUCACCAUUUGAUAACACAAUCAUCGGAUUUUCUAUCGUUGUGCUCGAUGGAUCUCACAUAAACAAUUUAGAUCGACAGUCUGACAACAUAAUGUCACUGUAGUUGUUAGAUUUCAUUUCAAUUCUGGUGGUGAUGAAUGGUGAUUAACAUUUUAUCAUUGUUGGCAACCACUUGUGUUUCCAGGGAGCAGGUGCAGAGGGAGUUCCAAAGAGGCUGACCUUUGAUGAAAUCCAGAGCAAGACAUACUUGGAAGUGAAGGGGACAGGAACUGCAAACCAAUGCCCAACCAUUGAUGGAGGGUUAGAAGCAUUCGCCUUCAAGCCGGGCAAGUACACCGCCAAGAAGUUCUGCCUAGAGCCCACAUCCUUCACUGUCAAGGCAGAGAGUGUGAACAAGAAUGCUCCACCAGAGUUCCAAAACACCAAGCUGAUGACCCGUCUAACCUACACCCUCGAUGAGAUCGAAGGGCCUUUCGAAGUGUCCCCAGAUGGCACUCUCAAGUUUGAGGAGAAAGAUGGGAUUGACUAUGCUGCAGUCACAGUCCAGCUCCCCGGAGGCGAGCGUGUCCCUUUCCUCUUCACCAUCAAACAGCUUGUAGCCUCAGGCAAACCCGAAAACUUUGGAGGGGAGUUUCUAGUACCAUCGUACCGCGGUUCUUCUUUCUUGGACCCAAAGGGUAGAGGAGGCUCCACUGGUUAUGACAAUGCCAUUGCAUUGCCAGCAGGAGGCAGAGGAGAUGAGGAGGAGUUGGCCAAGGAGAACAUCAAGAAUACUGCUUCAUCAAAAGGGAAGAUCACACUGAGUGUGAC
Molecule: long non-coding RNA, 11488 nt
Filed under: Prunus persica (peach)
Lineage: Eukaryota; Viridiplantae; Streptophyta; Magnoliopsida; Rosales; Rosaceae
Description: long non-coding RNA (PPER_LNC007427)
Rfam family: Plant small nucleolar RNA SNOR75 (bases 8479-8564)
Source: RNAcentral